GAAAUCCCAUCAGGAUAAAACCUAACCAGCAGUCCUGUAGCUAGUUCUUGAAGGCUAGGCGGUAACAGCUUUAAGCGUAGAACGGCAAAAUAGCGGACCGAAAGCUGAAGUAAUUGAGCCUCGAAAAUACGUGGAGACAGGCCGAUGUAGUUAUACAUACAGAAGGCGAAAUCGGUUCAAACUGGGUUAUGGAUGCGGAUAUUUCGGGGUUCUUUGACCA
Molecule: non-coding RNA, 220 nt
Filed under: Paenibacillus alvei
Lineage: Bacteria; Bacillati; Bacillota; Bacilli; Caryophanales; Paenibacillaceae
Source: RNAcentral